Molecule: long non-coding RNA, 877 nt
Filed under: Otus sunia (Oriental scops-owl)
Lineage: Eukaryota; Metazoa; Chordata; Aves; Strigiformes; Strigidae
Description: lncRNA (ENSOSUG00000013807.1)
Source: RNAcentral
CUCUGCCAACCUGUCAGUCCAGCCAUACAAGAGAGAGGGAGAGAGACAGAGGAAAAGAAAGGAGGGAGUGAAGCAGAGAUUCUUUCAGAUCUCAGCAGACAUUAAGGAACUACCAAACGUCACCUGAGAAAGUGAAGCUGCCCAACUUGAAUCACUUUGGUGAACCAAGUUCUGUAAAUGGGUCAGUAGGAGAGUUGCAGACAAGGCAGGUACUUUACAUUAAUUUUCCUUAGAAAAGACAAAAUGUUUCUAGCUCUUUCUAUCACAACUGACUUUUUAUUCUUUCUUGCCCCUCCCUUUCCCUCUGGAAAUUUUCCACAUUUCUGCCUAUGGUGGCACACACACGGUGACAAAGGCUGGAGCAGAUCUCUGCUUCAUCCCUCCUCUUACAGCCAUGGUGAAAUUAGAGGAAACACAGGUCUGUAAUCAUUAUCCCUUCCUCACCCUGCACAGAACUCCACAAGAUUUCACCCAAGGGCCAGCCAGCCUGCUGAUCGAGCUGCCACAGGUGAUCUAUGAAACAAAGAAACGGAUCCUGCCUACUGCAGCCAGGGAAAUACUUCUCUCGCUCCAAAAGAGCUCAGCCCGGGGAUCAAAGCUCUUGUUUUGGAAGGGACGUUCGAUUCCAGCGAGAGAGAAGGAUGUUAAGUUUAGGAGCAGCGCUGCGCGAUCGCUUGACUCGCUUCUGGUGCGCGCGAGGCUCGGGCGUUAGGGAUGAGUUACCCCGCACCGUUGCGUUUCUCCCCACCAAAAUAAAGAACAAAAGGAACAAAACUAUUUUCUCUCGGGUGUUUUUCCUUACGACGCGGGGCCUCGGAUAUUAGCCCGAGACAAGAAAGCUGGAGCGAGCCGGCGCGCUGCCCCCACGAGGGACCCC